UUCGCAAUGCCCGAAAGGGUGACGAAGCGACGCCGCGUGUGGGAAGAAGGCCUUCGGGUUGUAAACCACUGUCGGGAGUUAGGAAAUGUAAGGGUGCUAAUAGUAUCCUUACUUGACUAAGGCUCCGGAGGAAGCCACGGCUAACUCUGUGCCAGCAGCCGCGGUAAUACAGAGGCGGCAAGCGUUGUUCGGAAUUAUUGGGCGUAAAGAGCACGUAGGCGGCCUUGUAAGUCAGUUGUGAAAGCCUUCUGCUUAACGGAAGAACAGCAGCUGAUACUGCAAGGCUAGAGUGCGGAAGGGGAGAGUGGAACUUCUGGCGGAGCGGUGAAAUGCGUAGAUAUCAGAAGGAACACCGGCGGCGAAGGCGACUCUCUGGUCCGUAACUGACGCUGAGUGUGCGAAAGCUAGGGGAGCAAACGGGAUUAGAUACCCCGGUAGUCCUAGCCGUAAAC
RNAcentral lists this ribosomal RNA (452 nucleotides) under uncultured bacterium. Its description in RNAcentral is "bacterial SSU rRNA". It matches the Rfam family "Bacterial small subunit ribosomal RNA", at positions 365 to 807 of the family's 1533-position model. The record is from RNAcentral.